This is a long non-coding RNA of Orussus abietinus, 260 nucleotides long. RefSeq lists it as uncharacterized. The transcript has 3 exons. Lineage: Eukaryota; Metazoa; Arthropoda; Insecta; Hymenoptera; Orussidae. The record is from RefSeq and is a predicted model, not a curated record.
CUCGUAUGGCGUGUGGUCAACUUCGACGCUUCCUGCCCUGUGUGCGGGAACGCCGGGAACGGCCGGAGCCGAGUGCUGCCGAGCGUGACAGGGCGAACGAGGAAAACUGGCUCGGCUUGGACUAGCGACGCGGCACGUGGAAGGAUGAGACCGGCGUUCCUGCGUUUAUGUUAAGCUGGUGCUAUCGAGAGCUCAGGUGCUGCGCGGGACGUUCGGCGGACGGGGUGCGAUGGCUCGGCCAUGAGGGCGCGAAAGUUCUU